GACGAGCGCUGGCGGCGUGCUUAACACAUGCAAGUCGUACGGUAAGGCCCUUUCGGGGGUACACGAGUGGCGAACGGGUGAGUAACACGUGAGUAACCUGCCCACAACUUUGGGAUAACGCUAGGAAACUGGUGCUAAUACUGGAUAUGUGCUCCUGCUGCAUGGUGGGGGUUGGAAAGCUCCGGCGGUUGUGGAUGGACUCGCGGCCUAUCAGCUUGUUGGUGGGUUAGUGGCCUACCAAGGCGGCGACGGGUAGCCGGCCUGAGAGGGUGACCGGCCACAUUAGGACUGAGAUACGGCCCAGACUCCUACGGGAGGCAGCAGUGGGGAAGAUUGCACAAUGGGCGCAAGCCUGAUGCAGCAACGCCGCGUGCGGGAUGACGGCCUUCGGGUUGUAAACCGCUUUCAGCAGGGACGAAGCUUUUUGUGACGGUACCUGCAGAAGAAGCACCGGCUAACUACGUG
Molecule: ribosomal RNA, 465 nt
Filed under: uncultured bacterium
Lineage: Bacteria
Description: partial 16S ribosomal RNA
Rfam family: Bacterial small subunit ribosomal RNA
Source: RNAcentral